GAUGAACGCUGGCGGCGUGCCUAAUACAUGCAAGUCGAGCGAACGGACGAGAAGCUUGCUUCUCUGAUGUAGCGGCGGACGGGUGAGUAACACGUGGAUAACCUACCUAUAAGACUGGGAUAACUUCGGGAAACCGUAGCUAAUACCGGAUAAUAUUUUGAACCGCAUGGUUCAAAAGUGAAAGACGGUCUUGCUGUCACUUAUAGAUGGAUCCGCGCUGCAUUAGCUAGUUGGUAAGGUAACGGCUUACCAAGGCAACGAUGCAUAGCCGACCUGAGAGGGUGAUCGGCCACACUGGAACUGAGACACGGUCCAGACUCCUACGGGAGGCAGCAGUAGGGAAUCUUCCGAAAUGGGCGAAAGCCUGACGGAGCAACGCCGCGUGAGUGAUGAAGGUCUUCGGAUCGUAAAACUCUGUUAUUAGGGAAGAACAUAUGUGUAAGUAACUGUGCACAUCUUGACGGUACCUAAUCAGAAAGCCACGGCUAACUACGU
RNAcentral lists this ribosomal RNA (495 nucleotides) under uncultured bacterium. RNAcentral describes it as "partial 16S ribosomal RNA". It matches the Rfam family "Bacterial small subunit ribosomal RNA", at positions 28 to 506 of the family's 1533-position model. The record is from RNAcentral.